Podarcis lilfordi (Lilford's wall lizard) is the source of this 3818-nucleotide non-coding RNA. NCBI's taxonomy places the organism in Eukaryota, Metazoa, Chordata, Lepidosauria, Squamata, Lacertidae. The record is from the annotation of a GenBank genome assembly.
GUCCACUAGGUUACACAUCAGCUACAGAAGCAACUCAGCGGUUAGGGCAGAGCCACUAUGUCAGCUUCCCACCAGGUGGGUCACCGUUACUUAAUGGGAGUAGGCCAGACAAGUUAGUGGGGAGAUUGGUGGGGUGCAAAUGCACGGGAAAAGCAAAUCCAAUACAACUGCCAUUUUGUUCACACCCGCCAAGCUCUCUGCUGCCUCUUCUCUCCCUGUCUGCCUCCUGGUAAACAGCAGCAACUCACCUGCCAGUAAGGUAGCACAAUAGCUCUGUUCCACCUGGUGAACUGCUUUUGGUCAGCUGUUCAGUUUCUUAACUAAAAACACAGCAGUCGGCCAGGAGAAAAAGCAGACAAAGUUUAAACCAAAGGCAAAAUUCUGCAUUAUUUAUUUAUUGUUGGCAUCCAUCUGUCAACACUAUGAUAGCGACAUGAACACAGUUUGGAGCCAAUCACCUGGUGACAAUCAUUAUUUAUUAAAUUUCUAUGCUGCCCUUCAUUGGUAGAUUUCAGGAUGGUUCACAACAUAAAAAUACAAGAUAAAAACAAAAAAUACAUGAUAAAAGAAAGGACCAAAAAAAAUGCCCCACAGAAACCAAUAACCCCACUUCCCCUACCCCCUCACACAUGGGUUUGUUAGGUUUCUUUUUGUUUAAAACUCUUCUUUUCUUCCAUGUUCACAUUAAAUGGUAGGUUUUCCGCAGCAAGCUUGAUGUUGUAUCUUUUGCUGCUGUCAUUAUCUCAGCAUUGAGCUUUGUAAAUCCCACAUCAUGCUUCUUUACCAUUAUUCUUUGUUAGUGUUUUAAUCAUCUUCCUUUUGUUUCUCUCUUGUUUCUCCAACAAGACUAUGAACUCCUGAAAUGGCCUGCGAUUGUGGGCAACCCCAGACUUUUGUAAGUUGUCUGCUCUGUUGUUGGCAGGAUAACUCAAACUGUGACCACAGGCACAAGACUUCAUAUUUGCCUUCCCUCAAGUCCCUCUUGUAAUUAACUUCCUGCUGCUUCUCUCCAAUAACUGGAGGACCAAAACACUUUGAGUUCCACUCAAGUAUAAAUCAUAGGAAUGUAGCAUUGCACCCUACUGGGCUGGGUCUUGCCUGGAGUUCACCAGACUUGUUCUGUACUAUAUGAUUUCUCCUUCAAUCCAGGAAAAAAAAAACCCUAAGCAAACAACAGGAAAUUACCCUCAAACAAUCAGAGAAACUAUGCAAGUUCUUGUCCCACAAGAACUCUUAUAUAAUAUAAUAUUGCACCUUCACAUGCUCAUAUUUACUAGGAACUAAAUUCCAUUAAUAUGAGUUGAUCUCACAUUCAAGAGCUGUUAGGAUCAUAGUGUUAGCUAAUUAUUAUUAAUAAUUCGGCAAUCAUUAUUCUUUACUGUGAGCUAUGUUUAGAUAAUGAAAUGAAACUAUACAGGUAUUAAUGUACAGAUACGAACACUUCCCAGUACAAUCAGGAACCCUUCAAAAGCUGAGUUCCUGAUGAUCCAGAUAACAUACAAUUGUCCAUACAUAUGCUGAAAUGAAUGUGCAUAUACCAGGGCUCGAAUUUGCCAUCAUGACACUAUAAUGUAUACAUUGCUAUAUAUUAUUAAAACUGCAAAUGGCUUUGGGAAGCUUAGUACUGCUAUAUGUUUGAAAAGGAUAAAGAGCCUGAUUCAAAGUUCCCAUUUUACUAUCCUUCUUAAUAGGUUUAGUCAACCUACUCAAUAUUUCAAGGGAAAGAUCAAUGCUAUCUAGAGAUUUAUUCACUUGUCCCCCUACCCCAAGAAUAAUAGCUGGGACAAGCUCAUUGGCCUCUUUCUCUCCUGCACAUCCCCAUCCCCAUCCCUGCAACCACCCAUAUAUUGGAGCCAAAAUUCAUUGCAGUAAAGAGCCUCUUCUAGUGAACCAGACUCACAUUUAAUAGUCCUCAUCUGGUGCUGAUGCUGUAGUGAUAGCAACAGGAACAGAGAAGAGGCAGCGGAGGCAGCAGCAACUUGUUCAUCCCCACUCUCCUUCUCAUGCUAUGCUGUUCCUCUUGGGGAAGGGGAGGAUUAGUGGACAGGGCUUAAUCCAUAGCUGGCAACGUUUUCCUUUUUUUAAGGGAAAUUCCCUUAUUCCAAAUAGGAUUCCUCGCAAGAAAAGGGAAAAGUUGACAGCUAUGGCUUAAUCUGAUCCUUUGGGGUUUUAAGUGGGUGUUGGUUCUUGUGGUUAAUUGGCAUGCUUAAUCUAGUCAUGGGACAAGGAAGACUAUUUUGUGUGGAUGAACAACUUUUUAGUGUGUGUCACUGUUUUGAAUUGAUUUAUUUGUUAUUUAAUGUGCAUUUAAUGUAAUUAAUGUAAUGUACAUUUAAUGUAAUUCACAAUGCAAAGCAUUUUGAGACUCUUUCUCAAGUGAGAACAAAAUAAUUAAAUGAAUUGUUAUUAUUGUCAAUCAAAUAAUUAUAAUAAUAUGUAAAUUUGACACAGUGCUUGGGACUCUCAGUCAGUACUGAGUAUUGUGCAUAGGUAGCCACAAAUACUGGAUAUAGAGUUCAAUAACAAGGAAGUCAGGCAUACAGCUUUCAGGGCAUUUGUUUAUUACCUUUCCAGCCCUAAUGGGACCCCUAUGCUACUGACCAUUAUAAAAACAUAAACCAGCAAACCAGCAUAAAGUAUAAAAACAAAAGUUCAAGUAAUAAGCAGAAGAACUAAUAAAUCAGCGAAUAAAUACCAAGAUCCAGAUAUUAUCACAUUCCCAAAGAGUGCAGUGAUAUAAUGUAUAUCUAAACUGUAGUCAAAAUGACAAGCUCAGAUGGCUGUCUCAGAUUCUGUAGCCUUGGUAUGACUGUCAAGAAGGCACCAUUCCAUGAGCGAACUAGAUGCACCUCAAAUGGUGGUGAACAUGGAGCAUAGCACAGCAUAUUGAUCCCCUAUGCUAGAUUUAUUUUCUGAGCAGUACAAAUGCACACCGUCCGUUUUUAGAUAAAAAACCAGGACACACUCCUGAACAAGUCACAUGAGCUGCCUCACGAUAUCAUCCUCCAAUUCCCGCCCCACCCCCGAGUGUGACAUGAGAGUGUGCAAGAUCACGGCACCCAAAAUGGCCACCAUGAUCUCACACAAACAGAUGAGAUGUCCCAUUUUUUCUGGAACACUUAGUGGGUAGAACUGGUAUGCUGGAGAACUAAUGACAAGCAAGAGUAUGUCCCAGAUCACCUGGUGAAGGUUGUGUUACUGUGAUGUAUUUCUUUUACUGCUUGAUUUAAUUCACCUUCUGGUCUAUUGUAGCAUCAUAUCAAGGAAGAAGAUCAUUAUCUUGGAGAGAACAGGGUGGCUGCCAGCAACUGAACCUCUCAUGCCCCAUAAUACCAAGCAAUCCUAGCCCUGAACUUUUAAGUGGUUGAAUUUGCUCUCUUCUCCAAAGCGUUAAGUCUCCCACAGCUUGUUACACUGUGUGGGAAUCUUCAGCCUGCACCUGGACUAAGGAGCUAUGCUGAUUGCCUGCCAAGUAUUAGUUUGUCUUCCAUUCUGGUGGGAAACUGUUGUGUUACCCAGACACCAGCUGUGGCUUAUGAAAUGAUCUUUUGCUUUUGUGAAAAAAUGAUGUGUUCCCCAAAUAUCAGCUGUGGUGGAUUCUAAUAUAAGUCACAAGCACAUCUCAACGAACUGAGCUUCUACGCAGGCCAAUAGCUGGCAGAUGUUGAGCACCUGACAGGACUUUGUGUCCAUUGCCAUUCAGUAGGGUUCCUGCUCACAAAAGGAAAGGGAAUAAAUACCAGUUUUUGCUUUGCUUUGCUUUGCCUUGUUCUUUAGUGUGUCAUACUCCUGCUAAUAAAAUCUGUUUAUUAAAGAGC